CGUGCCUAAUACAUGCAAGUCGAGCGAACGGACGAGAAGCUUGCUUCUCUGAUGUUAGCGGCGGACGGGUGAGUAACACGUGGAUAACCUACCUAUAAGACUGGGAUAACUUCGGGAAACCGGAGCUAAUACCGGAUAAUAUUUUGAACCGCAUGGUUCAAAAGUGAAAGACGGUCUUGCUGUCACUUAUAGAUGGAUCCGCGCUGCAUUAGCUAGUUGGUAAGGUAACGGCUUACCAAGGCAACGAUGCAUAGCCGACCUGAGAGGGUGAUCGGCCACACUGGAACUGAGACACGGUCCAGACUCCUACGGGAGGCAGCAGUAGGGAAUCUUCCGCAAUGGGCGAAAGCCUGACGGAGCAACGCCGCGUGAGUGAUGAAGGUCUUCGGAUCGUAAAACUCUGUUAUUAGGGAAGAACAUAUGUGUAAGUAACUGUGCACAUCUUGACGGUACCUAAUCAGAAAGCCACGGCUAACUACGUGCCAGCAGCCGCGGUAAUACGUAGGUGGCAAGCGUUAUCCGGAAUUAUUGGGCGUAAAGCGCGCGUAGGCGGUUUUUUAAGUCUGAUGUGAAAGCCCACGGCUCAACCGUGGAGGGUCAUUGGAAACUGGAAAACUUGAGUGCAGAAGAGGAAAGUGGAAUUCCAUGUGUAGCGGUGAAAUGCGCAGAGAUAUGGAGGAACACCAGUGGCGAAGGCGACUUUCUGGUCUGUAACUGACGCUGAUGUGCGAAAGCGUGGGGAUCAAACAGGAUUAGAUACCCUGGUAGUCCACGCCGUAAACGAUGAGUGCUAAGUGUUAGGGGGUUUCCGCCCCUUAGUGCUGCAGCUAACGCAUUAAGCACUCCGCCUGGGGAGUACGACCGCAAGGUUGAAACUCAAAGGAAUUGACGGGGACCCGCACAAGCGGUGGAGCAUGUGGUUUAAUUCGAAGCAACGCGAAGAACCUUACCAAAUCUUGACAUCCUUUGACAACUCUAGAGAUAGAGCNUUCCCCUUCGGGGGACAAAGUGACAGGUGGUGCAUGGUUGUCGUCAGCUCGUGUCGUGAGAUGUUGGGUUAAGUCCCGCAACGAGCGCAACCCUUAAGCUUAGUUGCCAUCAUUAAGUUGGGCACUCUAAGUUGACUGCCGGUGACAAACCGGAGGAAGGUGGGGAUGACGUCAAAUCAUCAUGCCCCUUAUGAUUUGGGCUACACACGUGCUACAAUGGACAAUACAAAGGGCAGCGAAACCGCGAGGUCAAGCAAAUCCCAUAAAGUUGUUCUCAGUUCGGAUUGUAGUCUGCAACUCGACUACAUGAAGCUGGAAUCGCUAGUAAUCGUAGAUCAGCAUGCUACGGUGAAUACGUUCCCGGGUCUUGUACACACCGCCCGUCACACCACGAGAGUUUGUAACACCCGAAGCCGGUGGAGUAACCUUUUAGGAGCUAGCCGUCGAAGGUGGGACAAAUGAUUGGGGUGAAGUCGUAACAAGGUAGCCGUAUCGGAAGGUGCGGCUGGAUCACCU
RNAcentral lists this ribosomal RNA (1505 nucleotides) under Staphylococcus argenteus. Its description in RNAcentral is "16S ribosomal RNA". It matches the Rfam family "Bacterial small subunit ribosomal RNA". Lineage: Bacteria; Bacillati; Bacillota; Bacilli; Caryophanales; Staphylococcaceae. The record is from RNAcentral.